Molecule: ribosomal RNA, 253 nt
Filed under: uncultured bacterium
Lineage: Bacteria
Description: partial 16S ribosomal RNA
Rfam family: Bacterial small subunit ribosomal RNA
Source: RNAcentral
UACGAAGGGGGCUAGCGUUGCUCGGAAUCACUGGGCGUAAAGGGUGCGUAGGCGGGUCUUUAAGUCAGGGGUGAAAUCCUGGAGCUCAACUCCAGAACUGCCUUUGAUACUGAGGAUCUUGAGUUCGGGAGAGGUGAGUGGAACUGCGAGUGUAGAGGUGAAAUUCGUAGAUAUUCGCAAGAACACCAGUGGCGAAGGCAGCUCGCUGGGACGUUACUGACGCUGAGACGCGAAAGCGUGGGGAGCAAACAGG